AAGCGCUUGCAACCAGACUUGCAUGCGGUUGAUCAUCCGGUGUUCUCACCGGUGCACUUGACCGUGUACAGGCCAGCAUCGGUUCAGGUGGCGGGAUAAAGGCCUUGGGAAUGUAGCUUCUUUCGGGGAGUGUUAUAGCCCGUUGCAUAAUACCCUGCGGUGGACUGAGGACCGCGCAUCUGCAAGGAUGCUGGCGUAAUGGU
RNAcentral lists this ribosomal RNA (203 nucleotides) under Helotiales sp. RNAcentral's name for it is "partial large subunit ribosomal RNA". Lineage: Eukaryota; Fungi; Ascomycota; Leotiomycetes; Helotiales. The record is from RNAcentral.